GAUGAACGCUGGCGGCGUGCCUAAUACAUGCAAGUCGAGCGAACGGACGAUAAGCUUGCUUCUCUGAUGUUAGCGAGUGACGGGUGAGUAACACGUGGAUAACCUACCUAUAAUACUGGGAUAACUUCGGGAAACCGGAGCUAAUACCGGAGAAUAUUUUGAACCGCAGGGUUCAAAAGUGAAAGACGGUCUUGCUGUCACUUAUAGAUGGAUCCGCGCUGCAUUAGCUAGUUGGUAAGGUAACGGCUUACCAAGGCAACGAUGCAUAGCCGACCUGAGAGGGUGAUCAGCCACACUGGAACUGAGACACGGUCCAGACUCCUACGGGAGGCAGCAGUAGGGAAUCUUCCGCAAUGGGCGCAAGCCUGACGGAGCAACGCCGCGUGAGUGAUGAAGGUCUUCGGAUCGUAAAACUCUGUUAUUAGGGAAGAACAUAUGUGUAAGUAACUGUGCACAUCUUGACGGUACCUAAUCAGAAAGCCACGGCUAACUACGUG
Molecule: ribosomal RNA, 497 nt
Filed under: uncultured bacterium
Lineage: Bacteria
Description: partial 16S ribosomal RNA
Rfam family: Bacterial small subunit ribosomal RNA
Source: RNAcentral